This is a non-coding RNA of Lonchura striata (white-rumped munia), 165 nucleotides long. The record is from RefSeq and is a predicted model, not a curated record. NCBI's taxonomy places the organism in Eukaryota, Metazoa, Chordata, Aves, Passeriformes, Estrildidae.
ACAAAGAUUGUAGUGUGGAUAGCUGUGUUGCAGUCUGCAAUGUACGAGACGAGUGAUGGAAGGUCAUUCCUUUAGCCUAAGGUGUUUAACUGUGCCUAGGAAAAACCUCAAGUUGUCUCUAGAAUCAAAAAGACAAUUUUGUUCUUGUAACUGGCAUUCAUGAGG